CAGGGCUAGAAGAGACACACAGGACCCCAUGCUGAGUCUCUGCCAGUAACUUAUUAGAACAUGAAGUCAGUUCAUGGUUAUAGACAAUCUGGACAAUGUGAAAAUCUUAAAACCAUCUGGAAACACCAAUGAUUUGCCAAUACAGAUCAACCAAGAGAGCUAAUGUAACUACCCAUACCCUCAGCCCCUGCGUGAAGAAGAGACAGGACAUUUCACGCUUCCAACUGGUGUGAGUGAGGAAAGAAAAUUCCAACCUUCAGAACUGGCUCCAGAGACCACACUGAGUUUCUCUUUGCUGGUUUAAUGAAGUAAGCAGCCACACUGGGGAAGCCCACCCGGCAAGGAACUGGAGGUGGUCCCUAGGAACUUCCUCCAAAAGUUGAAAGUGACAUCCAGCCAACCGCCAGCAAAAAUUUAAGCUCUCAGUCCUACACCCUCAAAGAACUAAAUGCUGCCAACAGAAACAGGUCUCGCUAGAUUGUGGAGGCUGACUUUUAAUUUGCAAUCCUGCCAUCUGAGCUUCCCAAUAGCUGGGAUUACAGGUCACACAAGUCAGAACUGCCCUGAUGAGCAUUGUUCCUGGAGGACUCUGCGCUUGAACUCCCCUCCCCACCGCCUCCUCUUCCCACAGGGGUGAUCAGCUCUGCCCACUGGGGGAGACAGGGCUGCCAUCCAUACAAACAAAAAAAUAAAGACAAUUACAGAACGCUGAGUACCAUAAAGUAACCAAUAUAGGGAGGUGAUAGAGUGUGGAUGGGGCUACUGUAGACAGGCCUUUCUGGGAUGUGGCAUUAGACUGAGACUUGAAAGAUGAGGAGCCUGGGGAGGUGUGUUCUGGGCAGAGCGGAGAUCAAGGGCAAAGGCCCUAUGAGCAGUAGACAUCGAUGAGGGCGAGUGAGUGAUGAAGGAGGCUGAAAAGUUCUGGGAACU
Non-coding RNA from Ictidomys tridecemlineatus (thirteen-lined ground squirrel), 930 nucleotides. The record is from RefSeq and is a predicted model, not a curated record. NCBI's taxonomy places the organism in Eukaryota, Metazoa, Chordata, Mammalia, Rodentia, Sciuridae.